CUUGAGAAUUGACUGAUUACUUAGUAAGUACGGGAGUCUCGGUAUCGAUCGAUAGCCAGUUUUCAAUGAACAGUUAUUCUCAGUUAAACCAUGAUAGGUAAUUUAUUUGGUAUUUUAUGUCAACAAGGUCCACUCUCUAUCCCUAUUAGCUCGUAAUCUACAUCUACACUAAUAUUAUAAAGAGGAAAACUUUGUUUGUUUGGUUGUAACGAAUAGGCUCAAAAACUACUGGACCGAUUUUAAAAAUUCUUUCACCAUUCGAAAGCUACAUUAUCCACGAGUAACAUAGGCUAUAUUUUAUUUUGGAAAAAAAUAGGGUUCCGUGAGAUAUUUGGAUUUUUCGGACACAAACUGAACAAAAUCAACCAAAGAAGUUACUUAUUUUGCGUACGCUGCCUAAACUACAAAAGAUAGAACCAUAAAAUGUUAUAAUUAAUUGUAGAUCUUAUAAAUAUCUACAAAAAAGUCCGCGACACACUAUACCUAUCUAUGUCGAGUGAGGCACAACAACCACAUUUUUAUUUAAAAAUCUUGAAUUUUUUUGGACUACAUUUAAACGCGUUUAUUUUACUCAUGCUAUUAAUCCUUAUCAAAAUAAAUUAUUUCAUCAAUAAGUACAGUUUAAGUUGGUAAUAUUUGGUCUUUGAAUGAUUAAAAUUGGACGUUUGGUUUUGAAGUUGUGGUCAAAUUAAAAUAAUAGGAUUUCUGCCGCACGGCCCGUUGCGAAGUGGACGUCGCCAAGGCCAGGAGGGCGUGUGCGGGACCAGUAAACCGAACAUUUUAAUGAAAGGAGAAUGGCAGAAUUCGUACAGCAUACUUUUUUUGGUGUUCCCUGAUAAAAUUUGUACCACUUAUUGAGGCAACUAAACCAUUCAUUUUUCUGUAAAAAUAAUAUUUUUAGAAGCUGGGGUUUAGCAAAUAUAUCAAUUAAAAGAUUUUAGUAACGAAACGUAAUAUAAUGAAACAAAACGUAGAAGACAUGUUUAGUUAGUUGCCAUUAAUAAAAUAUCAGAAAGCACGAAAUGAUAAAUAAAUAUUUUGAAAUAGAAAUAACAGUAAAUAUAAUUAACCAAUUACAGGUUAUACCUUAGAAUAUAUAAUUAAUGCAUAUAUAUGCAUAGAAUCUUUAUAUUUAUAGGAAUUAUUUUUGCCAUCAAUAUUUUUUUUUGUAAUGGCAAUUAUUUAUUGACAGGUUUGUAAAAUCCCUAAUCUGUCAAAGUCUGUUUUUCGCCGUUGUUUUGUUUUGGAUUGUAGUUUGUAACUUCAUCUAAACAAUUUAGCAAUUAUCUGGCCAUUUUUACGUUGAGUUGAGCAACUGCUUCUCCGUUCUCUAUCUGUUGAUACUACUUUCGCGAAAGGACGCUUUAUUAAUUGUGUUGUGUGUACGUGUUUUAUUGAAAAUGACGAGUUUGCAAUGCAUCAAUUGCAAUGUUCGCUUGUCCCGAAGAAGAAGACACGCUUUAUCCAAUGACGGUGAAGAUAUCGUCAACACUAUUCGUCUGUGGACAUAUCUUAGAGAUAUUACACCAGAUGACCAUGUUUACCAUGAAUGCUGGCAGCUAGCUAGUCAUUCAUGUUCUUCUGAUAAUAUGCCGAGAAGACACAUAGGCCAUCAGUGUUUGUGUUGUAUGUGGACAACCCAUACUAAGAAUUGGGCAAUGCAGAAUUUUGAUUGAAGAAGAACAAAGAAUGGCGUACACAAUUGCUAAUUGGAUCUAACCACGACAGCUUCAUCCUGAAGAUAAAGCUUGUGUGCGGUGUUGGUUAAGAGUGAGAACUAAGGAUACUUCACUAAAUGAAGAUAUUCAAUCCGUUCAACUUAAUCAGCAGAAAAGUGAUAAUUCUGAACUGAUGUGUGCUGCAUGUGGUCAAAGUCUUACUCCCAACAACACUGCUUGUUUGUUGGAGCACCAGCAGACACCUUCCAUGAAUGAAGUUUGUGAAGUUUGCUGGGGCCAAGUAUGCAAUUUGAGCUUCUAUGUUCCAGAUGGUCUAUGUUGCUUCAAGCUAAAAUAAAGUCCUGCCACUCUUCUCCCAGG
Spodoptera frugiperda (fall armyworm) is the source of this 2039-nucleotide RNA transcript. RefSeq lists it as uncharacterized. Lineage: Eukaryota; Metazoa; Arthropoda; Insecta; Lepidoptera; Noctuidae. The record is from RefSeq and is a predicted model, not a curated record. The transcript is spliced from 4 exons.